RNAcentral lists this ribosomal RNA (494 nucleotides) under uncultured bacterium. Its description in RNAcentral is "partial 16S ribosomal RNA". It matches the Rfam family "Bacterial small subunit ribosomal RNA", at positions 28 to 507 of the family's 1533-position model. The record is from RNAcentral.
GACGAACGCUGGCGGCGUGCUUAACACAUGCAAGUCGAACGGAAAGGCCUGCUUUCCCUUGUGGAUUGCGGGUGCUCGAGUGGCGAACGGGUGAGUAACACGUGAGUGAUCUGCCCCCAACUUGGGUAUAAGCCUGGGAAACUGGGUCUAAUUACCGAUAGUACUGCAGGGUGGUGCCGGUGGUGGAAAACGAUUUUCUAGUAGUUGGGGAUGAGCUCGCGGCCUAUCAGCUUGUUGGUGGGGUAAUGGCCUACCAAGGCGGCGACGGGUAGCCGGCCUGAGAGGGUGGACGGCCACAUUGGGACUGAGAUACGGCCCAGACUCCUACGGGAGGCAGCAGUGGGGAAUAUUGCACAAUGAGCGGAAGCCUGAUGCAGCGACGCCGCGUGGGGGAUGACGGCCUUCGGGUUGUAAACUCCUUUCGACCGCGAGGAAGCCACCUGGUUGGAAGGGUGGUGACGGUAGUGGUAGAAGAAGCACCGGCUAACUACGUG